GACAGGGAGGACAGGUGGUGCAUGGUUGUCGUCAGCUCGUGUCGUGAGAUGUGGUUAAGUCCGCAACGAGCGCAACCCCUACGUUUAGUUGCUAACGCGUGAAGGCGAGCACUCUAGACGAACUGCCGUUGACAAAACGGAGGAAGGUGGGGAUGACGUCAAAUCAUCAUGCCCCUUAUGUUCUGGGCUACACACGUGCUACAAUGGCCGGUACAGACGGACGCAAAGCCGCGAGGUGGAGCAAAUCCUAAAAAGCCGGUCUCAGUUCGGAUUGCAGGCUGCAAUUCGCCUGCAUGAAGUCGGAAUCGCUAGUAAUCGCAGGUCAGCAUACUGCGGUGAAUACGUUCCCGGGCCUU
This 356-nucleotide ribosomal RNA is filed under the name uncultured Pelotomaculum sp. Its description in RNAcentral is "bacterial SSU rRNA". It matches the Rfam family "Bacterial small subunit ribosomal RNA", at positions 1024 to 1382 of the family's 1533-position model. The record is from RNAcentral. Lineage: Bacteria; Bacillati; Bacillota; Clostridia; Eubacteriales; Desulfotomaculaceae.